Molecule: ribosomal RNA, 408 nt
Filed under: uncultured bacterium
Lineage: Bacteria
Description: partial 16S ribosomal RNA
Rfam family: Bacterial small subunit ribosomal RNA
Source: RNAcentral
GACGAACGCUGGCGGCGUGCUUAACACAUGCAAGUCGAACGGAGUGGCGAACGGGUGCGUACCACGUGGGUGAUCUGCCUUACACUUCGGGAUAAGCUGGGGAAACUGGGUGUAAUACCGGAUAGUGCAAGAUGAGGUCGCGGCCUAUCAGCUUGUUGGUGGGGUAAUGGCCUACUAAGUCGUCGAGGGGUAGCCGGCCUGAGAGGGUGUACGGCCACAUUGGUACUGCGAUACGGACCAGACUCCUACGGGAGGCAGCAGUUGGGAAUAUUGCACAAUGGGCGGAAGCCUGAUGCAGCGGUGCCGCGUGGGGGAUUAAGGGCUUUGGGUUGUAAACUCCUUUCGACAGGGACGCGGUACCUGUAUAGGAAGCAACGGCUAACUACGUGCCAGCAGCCGCGGUAAUAC